CUGCCGACCACUCCGCUACCCGCCUUACCGGCGCCAUGGCACACCAACCAACUCGCCAGAAAAACGCAACGGACGCUGUUAAAAUACGUCAUGAGACAAAAACAAUCAAUCACCCAACUAGAGUCCAGAUCGGAGUUCUAUUCAUCCGGUCUGUUACUUGCGACCGAGCCCUCGCCUUGCGGCUACGUUUGCGCCACCUACAGCCCGGGAGGGUGAGCGUCAUGGCGGCUUCUUUCCCGCUCCCAGUGACCCAGGACCUGUUCACGUUGCGUGCCACGUUGCAGGAGCUGCUGCAGUUCCUGAGGAAAGCCCUGUCCAUUUCCAAUGCACAUACGGUGGACUUCUACACGGAGUCCGUGUGGGCGGAACUGGUCGACUUGCCCCCGGAGACCGUGCUGAGGGUACUGAGGAAGGCAGUGGCAGAGGCGGAGGCCCGGCCCUCGGAGGCGCGCCUCCUGGUGGAAGCUGAGAGGCAAUCAGGUAUUACCAAUUUUCCCAAAAUAUUUUGUGAGACUUCCCAGAAGCUGGUGAGUGUGGAGGCCUUUGCUCUGGCUGUGAGAUCUUAUUCUGUACCAAAUUUGGGAAUAUGUACUCCUUUUGAACAGUUGCUUACAGCCCUUCGAGGAAAUAAAAAACAGAGAACUGGUGAAAAUGUGAAACCAGAUGAAUUUAUGAAUUUGAAAAAAUCUCAUGAAGUUCAGGCUAUGUCAGAGCUGAUCAGCAGUAUUGCUGAUUACUAUGGAAUAAAGCAGGUAAUUGACCUGGGUUCUGGAAAAGGCUACCUAAGCUCUUUUUUGUCCUUGAAGUAUGGCUUAAAAGUUUAUGGAAUUGAUUCAUCAAAUACCAAUACUCAUGGAGCUGAGGAGAGAAACAGGAAAUUGAAGAAACAUUGGAAAGUCUACCAUACUCGGUCAAAAUUAGAUGUCAAUGGACUGGCAUUAAAAAUGGCAAAAGAAAGGAAAGUGCAGAAUGAAAUUAAGUAUAAAGUAGAUUUUGAUGGAAUGUGUAACAACAGUCCUGCAAAUCAAGAAAAGAUGUCUGCCUCAGGUUUUUUGCCAGAUUUUUCGGAUUCUCUAAUUUCUAACAUUAGAACACAAAUGGAAAACCUACAUGUGUAUUCACAUCGAGAAGAAAACUUGUGUUUUGAAAAUGCCUUUGCUCUUAUAGACCUUUUGCCUAUUAAUGCUAUAGAACCUGCUUCAUUCCAAACACCUAAGAGAAAAAUGUCUGAAGCAAAUAAAGAGAGAAGAAAACUGACAUCAAAGUCAAAUGAAUCAAAUAUAUAUUCACCUUUAACAUCUUUUAUCACUGCUGAUUCAGAACUGCAUGAUAUUAUUAAAGAUCUGGAGGAUUGUUUGAUGGUAGGUCUACAUACUUGUGGUGAUCUUGCUCCAAAUACUCUGCGAAUAUUUACUUCCAAGUCUGAAAUCAAGGGAGUUUGCAGUGUGGGUUGUUGCUACCACCUCUUAUCUGAAGAGUUUGAAAAACCACAAAAAGAAAGUACCCAAGAAAAGUGGGGAUUUCCAAUGUGCCAGUAUUUAAAGGAAGAGAGAUGGUGCUGUGGUCGUAAUGCCAGAAUGUCAGCAUGUUUGGCAUUGGAAAGAGUUGCAGUUGGCCAAGGGCUGCCUACUGAAUCACUCUUCUAUCGAGCCGUCCUUCAGGAUAUUAUUAAAGAAUGUUAUGGCAUCACCAAAUGUGAUCGGCACGUGGGUAAAAUUUAUUCAAAAUCCUCUUCCUUUCUGGACUAUGUCAGAAAGUCUCUAAAGAAGCUUGGAUUAGAUGAGUCCAAGCUGCCAGAAAGAGUUAUAAUGGACUACUACGAGAAGUAUAAGCCUAGAAUGAAUGAGCUGGAAGCUUUUAAUAUGUUGAAAGUUGUUCUGGCUCCUUGUAUAGAGACAUUGAUUCUUCUAGAUCGACUUUGCUACCUGAAAGAACAGGAAGAUAUUGCAUGGGCUACACUUGUGAAGUUGUUUGAUCCUGUGAAAUCUCCCAGAUGUUACGCUAUUAUUGCCCUGAAGAAGCAGCAAUGAUUUCAUUUGAAGCAAGUUUCUUCUUGAGAAAAGCAAGAUAAUGGUGGAUGCAUAACCCCGUAGACCUCAAGCAAUGGAUGAUUUCUUGGUUUUCCUGCCUCUAAAUGGCACUGAACACGUUCAGAACAUGCUGUGGAGAAAAGGGAGGAAAUGAAUACACUGAUCCUCCAUGGGAAAAAACUAGCCCUUCCUCUGAGAGAAAAGAAUAAUGCCAGGUGUCCUCAUAUGUGUCAAUUCCUGUGGGAAGCAUUUGCUGAUAUUCUGCCCAUAGCUCCACCACCACCCAAGUGAAGGGUAAGAACAUCAUCUUGGUCACUCCCAUGUAUGCUUAUUAGGGCACAUAGACUGUAAAUUGCAUGCCUACUUCCUUAUCUGCCUAGUGGAACCUAAGUUCCUCAAAGGCAAGAACCAUGUGAUACACCUUUGAAUCUCCAGAUUCUGACCUGUAGCAUUGUCUAAUCUCACAUGUUUAAUGAAGGUUUAUUGAAACUUUCUUAAUAAGAUGAAAUAAUAUACAAUAUAUUAUGAUUAUGUAUAGUAUAAGAUGAAAUAAUGCAGAGCUGGUAAUAGUGCAAUAUUCUAAACUGAAGUAGUAAAGACGCUUUUAUUGCAAGACAGCCUAAGUAGUAGGUCUGUGAAAUGGGAAUACAGAGGGCAAAUCUAAACCAUUUCUGUGCCAUGGACCCCUUUGGCCAUCUGGAAAUGUCUUUGGGCCUCUUCUCAAACAUUUUCUUUUAAAUACAAAGUGAAAUACAUAAUAUGACAAAGGAAACCAAUCAUAUUGAGAUCGUUACUAAAAAAUUUUUUUAAAGUUAUAAUUUAGUAGUAUGUGUGUGUUUAUUAACUCAUUGAAUAAAAAGAUCAUGUAGCAGUUCUAAAACUCUAAUUUUUAAGUAACAAUAAAUGUCAACAAUAUUUGAAGAUUCCGGCCAUAACUGUAAUGUGACACAGAAAUAUCUGUACCUUCUAUUGGCAAAAGUUGCAAGUACUGCCAGUACUGCUGAGGUUUGUUGUCCACCUUUAGAACUGAAGGAAACCCUAAAUUACUAUUAGCAAUUAGUGAGAAUAAAGAAGAAUAUUUUCUCCAAGCUCCAAGAUCACGGAUGCCCUGAAUUCUAUCUGUGGAUCCUCUGGGCUCAGUCAACCCCCUGUCUGUGAAACACAGGGAAACAGAACACCUAAAGUAACUACCAAGAAUAGCAAUUCUUUCAUCUUUGGAGGAAUGGUAUCUUCUUAAAUCAAUGAGGUCUCCACUUACACUCUAUAGUGAACAACUGUUUCAGAGGUACUUAGGUUUCUGAAGGAUAACAAUAUCCACUUUAUAUAUAUAAAAUAUAACAGUCUACAAUACUUACUAGAAAACUUCAGUAAUAACAGCAGGGUGGUAUUUGUUUAAAGAUAAUUAUAUAGAUGAAUGGCACAGACUAGUGAGCUCAGAAAUCAGCCCACACCUGUUCAUUCAGUUGGCUUUUGACAAAGCUGCCAAAGCAAUUCAGUGGGUUUAAAUACUUUUUUCAACAAGUUUUGCAAACAACUGCAUAUCAAAAUGAAAAACCAAAAAAGCUUAACUUUGACCACAUAUCACAUACAGGGUACUUGAAAUGGAUCUUUGACCUGAAUGUAAAAAACUGCUAGAAGACAACAUAGGAAAAAAUAUUUGUGACCUUUGGUUAAGGAAAGAUUUCUUAGGCACCAAAAACAUGAACCAUAAGUGAAGAUUUCACAGACUGGACUUCAUCAAAUUUAAAAUGUCUGCCCUUCAAAAGAAAAUGAAAUGCCCUGUUAAGAAAAUGAAAAGACAGUCCACAGAUUGGUAAAAGAAAAAAAAAUUAGCAAAGCUCCUACCUGAUAAAGAGCUUGUAUGUAGAAUACAAAAAUAGACAAAAAAAAAAAAAAAAAACCUCAGUAAAAAGAAAAGCAAAAGAUUUGAACAAAUAUUUCGCCAAGGAAGAUAUACAAAUGGCAAUGAACAUGUGUAAAAAUAUUCAUCAUUAAUCAUCAAGAAAAUAUGAAUUAAAAGCACAAGGAGGCAGGGAGAUACCACUACACAACCUUUCAAAUGACUAAAAUUAGAAGGAUUGAUAAUAUUGCUAGAGCCCACAUAAAACAAAGAGAGCUCUGAAGAUUGCUCAGGCAAAUGCAAAUAGUACAGUUAUUUUGGAGAACAGUUUGGCAGAUUUUUUAUAAAGUUAAACAUAUACUUACCAUAUGACCCAACAAUUCCACUCAUAGAUAUUUACCCAAGAGAAAUGAAAACAUAUGUCCACACAGCAAAUGUUAAUAGUUGCUUUAUUCCUGUAGCUGAAAGUCUAUCACAAGCGAAAUGGAUAAAAUUAUUAUGAUAUAUUCAUAUGAUGGAAUACUUCUCAACAACAAGCAAUGGACUACAUGUACAUGUAACAACAUGGAUGAAUUUCAAAAGCAUUAUGCUAAGUGGCUAAGUGAAAUAAGACAGACACAACAGAUUACAUUCUGUAUGAUUCCAUUUGUAUGACAUUCUAGAAAAGUCAAAACCGUAGAAACAGAAAACAGAUCGGUCACUGGUUGCCAGUGGGCUGUGUGUAAAGAAAGGGAUCAUCUACAAAGGGGCAUACGGGAACUUUCUGGGGUGAUGAAAAUGUCCCAUAUGUUAAUUUGGGUGGUGAAUGCACGAUUUGUAUGUUUGUCAAAUUCAUUAAACAGUACACUUAAAAAGGGUGAAUAUUGCUACAUAUAAAUAAUUGUAUCUGAAUAAAACUUGACUUUUUAAAAAAUUCUAGUUUUAUCAGAGAGACAUUAUAAAUGAUAUUUUGUUACUAGAGCUAAAUUGUCCUUUCAGAGAAUUCAGUCUUAGGAUUUUCCCCCAAAAUGAAAGGCAUUUGUGCAUACUCUACAGAGAGGAACAGAUGCAUUGGCUCAGUGUCUUAUUGAGUUUAUACGCUAUUUGGAAAUUGGAUUGCUUUAACAAAUUACUUGCUAGCCAGGAAAAGCAUUAAGGGAUUAUUUGUCCACCAUGAUUUCAAAUUUUUCCCUAAUGAUAAAAUCAUUUGAAAUAAAAGGCAGCAGCCAAAGUAGUUUUACUCAGGGAGAUAUUAUUUCAUACAUAGACAUGUAAGAAAUGGUAUAAGCAAGAAAAGGAAAUAUACUCCAAUUUUUAAAUUUUUGAACUUACUUUAAGUGUUAUAAAUAACAGCAAACAAUUUCAAUCCUAAAUAGCACAUAUUUCAGAUUUCCUUAUAAUCGCUUCUCAACUUAAAGACUUGAAAUCACAUAUGAAUGUGGGUAUUUAAACUUCACUUUUUGCAAUUUGAAUCUUUACUUCUCAGGCCACUUUAAUACCUAUUUCAAUGCUGUUUGAGGAUACUGUUGGAUUAUAUUACUGUUUUUACUUGUUUAUGUGCUCUAAUGUUUUCCUACUGUGCUAGAGAACAUUUUGCUUUAAUAGCAUUCUAUGUAUUUCAAGAAUUUCUUUGUGAGUGAUGUGUCUUUCAAUAAAGCAAAGAGAAACUUCAAAAUCUUCAUAAAAGCAAUGUCCUUCAUUUACUUGUUAAUAGAACAGUAACAUUAUCUGCCUUAUCCAAAAUAAUUUUUUUUCAUUCAUAGUAAGUGAAGAACCAACCAGCACUUAUUUUAAAUGAGUUUCUGUGUAACUGCCAAAUUAAAUGAAUUAAUCUUUACCUUUGGGUCUUGUACUGUCAUAAUGUUAGUUGUUUUAAUGAACUGAUGAUAAUUUAUUUUAUUUUUUUAUUCAAUUUUUUGCCAGAAAGGCCAAACUAACUUCAAAUAUUUUUCAUUUUUUCCAAAGAUAUGUUUGAUCUCCCAGUAAGUGUUUACUGUGUUUACAUGAUAUCUCUUCUUUUGUAUAUCUAGAUCUGCUGCUAAUACACUAGCUUCUAGCCACAUGGGCUUAUUUAAAUUAUUUAAAAUGAAAAGUUGUGUUUCUCGGUCACACUGGACAAAUUUCAUGUGGUCAAUAGCCAUAUGUGGUUUGUGGCUAUCCUGUUGGAGAGCACAGAUAUGUAAUAUUUCCAUCAUUGUCUUAGUUCUUUUGGACAGGGGUGGUCUAAAUCAGGGUCAGGAAACAUUUUUCUUGAAGGGCCAAAUAGUAAAUAUUUUAGAAUUUAUGGGCCAAUGAGCAAAACUGAGGCUGCUAUUUAGGUACUUAAGUAACCAUUUGAAAAAUAGAUCCACUUAAAGACAGAAGAAAAAAGUAAGCAUUCUUAACUUGAUGGCUGUAGAAAGCAGGCAACAGGCUGGAUUUGAGCCAUAGUUUGCCCACCCGUGGUGCAGAUCUUUCAGUCCUUGAUUCAUUAAGCACACCUUUAUUGAGUACAUCUAUGUUUUAAGCACUGGGCAACAUAUUAAGCAAAGUGUAGUGAACAAGAAAACAUAGUCCCAGACCUUAUGGAGUUCAGAACAUAACAGGAAAAGCACUUUAACAAAAAUUGCACGAUUCAUCAAUUAUUAUAAUUUAACAAAUAAAAUGAAAGGAUGAACAGGAUGUUAUGAAAGGAAGUAACAGAGGAACCUAAACUUGUGUGAAAGAUUGACUUGAUUCUAAAAAUUAUAAAUUAUCUGCAACUAAUAUUAAUCUGUAAUAUAUGGCAAGUACUGUUUCUUACAGUCUUUGUAGUUGACCCAUGUGAGAAAGAUGCUAUAAAAGAUCUAGCUAGUAUUUCUAAAUGGAUUUGUGUUUAAAUAUAUGAUAUUCCUAUAUGCCAUCUGUUUUAUAUAUGGGAAUUAAUAGUACGUCUAAAAAUUAUAUUUGCUAAAAUAACGUUUAUUGAUGUUUGGUGUUUUAUUUUCCUCUAUUAGAGCCUUUUAUAAGAAUAAAAGUGUAUAAAUUAAAUGCUUCCUUGUGACCAGAAAAACUUGUGACUAAUUAACUCCUAAAGUGGCCCCAAUUUCCUAUUGUUUGUAAUCAAAAUUCAAAUUGAGCCCUUCAUUAAACAAAACAAUGCGAUGUUACUUUAACAGUUUUUUUUAACAUACCAAUUUUUCCAUUUAUGAGAACUCAGUAUACAAAUCAGCAAAGCAAAUUAAAAUAAAAAUAGAUGCUAUACUGUCUUCCCAUAUAUUGGCAGUGUUCCUCAAGAUUUUAUUUGGUUUUCUGAGCUUUUAUUGCACUUUGCAGUUCAUAUAAAUGUGGCCUUUUUUAUUGCGGUGUCAAGAACUUUAUAUAAAUCUAACUCUUUAACCACCGAGCAUGUGAGAGAGAUCUGAAUGAGCAGAAGCCAUUCUAAAUUGAGCACACGCCUCGACUGACAAAUAGGCCAAGCUGAAGUGGUUUAGAGAUUACAUCAUGUGCCACAUACCUGCUUUGUUGCAAUAAAUAAACCCCAGACUGAAAUAUGGCUGGUUAUACAUUGAGAUGAGGAUGAAAUAAAGGGAAUGAAAUACUUUCUGAGGUCAUGACAUUGCAUUUUAAUUCUUCAAUUUCGCUAUAAUUAACAAGCCCAGGAACAAAUCUUUCUGCUGAUUCAGGUUUAAGUUCUUUUCUGGUGGCAAGUGAAGUGCACCAAGAAGCUAGAAUUUGACAUUCCCUCCAUGGCUUCUUAGAACAAUGCAUGUUGGAAUAAAGCCAAGAAUAGUGGAGUUUAAAAACCAAUUAAAAAACAAAAAACAGUGACUGAACCCAUCAAGAAAUGAUUCCACUUUUGAAUCACUAGCUGAGCUCGGGUCUUCUAUUACCUUUGCACAGUUUUCAGCACCGAGCUGCUGCUGUUACUCUUUAAUGCAACUCUGGGUAUAAAUUAAAGAUGCUGGCUCCCUCGAGGCAGAUCCUGAAUUCAUCUUUACUGAGAGAGAGAAAAAAUGUUACACCUACUUAAUCCAGAAGUUUGAAGGCCCCACACAGGAAUCAGGUCUUAGUGUCAUCUGAGGUGGAGUCAUCCUGACAGCCGGCAUACAUUUUCCUCAUGGAGCAUGGGACGACUUCAGAGCAUCCAGUGGUCGAUCUAUGGAUGAGCUCACCCUGGGCUGCUUCCGUCUGAGAUUCCUUUGGUCUCCAGGAAGGAGCCUCGCCCUCUUCACUCACACAGUACCAUCACUGCUGAACCUGAGGUUGCUCCUUUGGCGGUUUCCAUUCGCUGGAACCUUUGACGCAGGAAUUGGUGCUUGUACUGAGGUGGAAAGGGGACACAGUUGGCUGCCGCGAUCACAGCAGGUGGGGAGGUAGGAGUAAUUGGUGCCUUGAAUCUACUCCACCCUUUGUUUCUGUACAGAACCUGUGUCAGUUGGAUCCGUGUGUCCUAAUCCUGAUUCUUGAGAUCUCAACCAUGUCAAAAUGUCAUCUGGCACAAGUUCAGACUCUACUUGCGUUUCAGAUGUCCCGCCAUUAUCAUCUAUCACUGAGACCCUUCACGUUUCCUUUUGAUUCCUGUAGCCCAGAAGAAGGCUAAAAGAUCUGCUGGGAUCUCUUUUUCCCCAGUGGAAGCUCUCUGCCUCAGUCAAGAUUAAUUCUUAAACCCUAAGCAAAAUGAUGGCCAACAAUUGCCCGCCUAUUUCAGAACGUGGUUCUCCUUUCUCUGGAAUUUUUGUUUAUGCUAUUUCCUUACUCUCUGAUAUCAUUAAAAAUAUGUGUUUUGUAG
Molecule: RNA transcript, 8599 nt
Organism: Zalophus californianus (California sea lion)
Lineage: Eukaryota; Metazoa; Chordata; Mammalia; Carnivora; Otariidae
Gene: METTL25
Gene name: methyltransferase like 25
Exons: 15
Source: RefSeq, a predicted model, not a curated record